This 74-nucleotide transfer RNA is filed under the name Hypoxylon rubiginosum. RNAcentral describes it as "tRNA-Val". It matches the Rfam family "tRNA". Rfam says of the family: Transfer RNA (tRNA) molecules are approximately 80 nucleotides in length. Their secondary structure includes four short double-helical elements and three loops (D, anti-codon, and T loops). Further hydrogen bonds mediate the characteristic L-shaped molecular structure. tRNAs have two regions of fundamental functional importance: the anti-codon, which is responsible for specific mRNA codon recognition, and the 3' end, to which the tRNAs corresponding amino acid is attached (by aminoacyl-tRNA synthetases). tRNAs cope with the degeneracy of the genetic code in two manners: having more than one tRNA (with a specific anti-codon) for a particular amino acid; and 'wobble' base-pairing, i.e. permitting non-standard base-pairing at the 3rd anti-codon position. Lineage: Eukaryota; Fungi; Ascomycota; Sordariomycetes; Xylariales; Hypoxylaceae. The record is from RNAcentral.
GGUUUCGUAGUGUAGUCGGUUAUCACGUCAGUCUAACGCGCUGAAGAUCUCCAGUUCGAAUCUGGACGAAACCA